This 460-nucleotide ribosomal RNA is filed under the name uncultured bacterium. RNAcentral's name for it is "partial 16S ribosomal RNA". It matches the Rfam family "Bacterial small subunit ribosomal RNA", at positions 338 to 795 of the family's 1533-position model. The record is from RNAcentral.
CCUACGGGGGACAGCAGUGAGGAAUAUUGGUCAAUGGACGAGAGUCUGAACCAGCCAAGUAGCGUGAAGGAUGACUGCCCUAUGGGUUGUAAACUUCUUUUAUAUGGGAAUAAAAUGUUCCACGUGUGGGAUUUUGUAUGUACCAUAUGAAUAAGGAUCGGCUAACUCCGUGCCAGCAGCCGCGGUAAUACGGAGGAUCCGAGCGUUAACCGGAUUUAUUGGGUUUAAAGGGAGCGUAGGUGGAUUGUUAAGUCAGUUGUGAAAGUUUGCGGCUCAACCGUAAAAUUGCAGUUGAAACUGGCAGUCUUGAGUACAGUAGAGGUGGGCGGAAUUCGUGGUGUAGCGGUGAAAUGCUUAGAUAUCACGAAGAACUCCGAUUGCGAAGGCAGUUCACUGGACUGCAACUGACACUGAGGCUCGAAAGUGUGGGUAUCAAACAGGAUUAGAUACCCCAGUAGUC